RNAcentral lists this ribosomal RNA (498 nucleotides) under uncultured bacterium. RNAcentral's name for it is "partial 16S ribosomal RNA". It matches the Rfam family "Bacterial small subunit ribosomal RNA", at positions 355 to 843 of the family's 1533-position model. The record is from RNAcentral.
UAGGGAAUCUUCCACAAUGGACGCAAGUCUGAUGGAGCAACGGCCGCGUGAGUGAAGAAGGUUUUCGGAUCGUAAAGCUCUGUUGUUGGUGAAGAAGGAUAGAGGCAGUAACUGGUCUUUAUUUGACGGUAAUCAACCAGAAAGUCACGGCUAACUACGUGCCAGCAGCCGCGGUAAUACGUAGGUGGCAAGCGUUGUCCGGAUUUAUUGGGCGUAAAGCGAGCGCAGGCGGAAUGAUAAGUCUGAUGUGAAAGCCCACGGCUCAACCGUGGAACUGCAUCGGAAACUGUCAUUCUUGAGUGCAGAAGAGGAGAGUGGAACUCCAUGUGUAGCGGUGGAAUGCGUAGAUGUAUGGAAGAACACCAGUGGCGAAGGCGGCUCUCUGGUCUGCAACUGACGCUGAGGCUCGAAAGCAUGGGUAGCGAACAGGAUUAGAUACCCUGGUAGUCCAUGCCGUAAACGAUGAGCGCUAGGUGUUGGGGACUUUCCGGUCCUCAG